UACGGAGGGGGCGAGCGUUGUUCGGAAUCACUGGGUGUAAAGGGUGCGUAGGCGGUGCGUUAAGUCUGAUGUGAAAGCCCUGGGCUCAACUCAGGAAUUGCAUUGGAAACUGGCGUGCUGGAGUACGGGAGAGGGAAGCAGAAUUCCUGGUGUAGCGGUGAAAUGCGUAGAUACCAGGAGGAACACCGGUGGCGAAGGCGGUUUCCUGGCCCAGUACUGACGCUGAGGCACGAAAGCGUGGGGAGCGAACGGG
This 253-nucleotide ribosomal RNA is filed under the name uncultured bacterium. RNAcentral describes it as "partial 16S ribosomal RNA". It matches the Rfam family "Bacterial small subunit ribosomal RNA", at positions 524 to 776 of the family's 1533-position model. The record is from RNAcentral.